UUUUAUCAGAGAGUUUGAUCCUGGCUCAGGAUGAACGCUGGCGGCGUGCUUAACACAUGCAAGUCGAACGGGAAACCUUUUAUUGAAGCUUCGGCAGAUUUAGCUGGUUUCUAGUGGCGGACGGGUGAGUAACGCGUGGGUAACCUGCCUUGUACAGGGGGAUAACAGUCAGAAAUGACUGCUAAUACCGCAUAAGCGCACAGGACCGCAUGGUCCG
RNAcentral lists this ribosomal RNA (217 nucleotides) under Ruminococcus sp. OF03-6AA. Its description in RNAcentral is "partial 16S ribosomal RNA". It matches the Rfam family "Bacterial small subunit ribosomal RNA", at positions 1 to 197 of the family's 1533-position model. The record is from RNAcentral. Lineage: Bacteria; Bacillati; Bacillota; Clostridia; Eubacteriales; Oscillospiraceae.